Molecule: long non-coding RNA, 835 nt
Organism: Peromyscus maniculatus bairdii (prairie deer mouse)
Lineage: Eukaryota; Metazoa; Chordata; Mammalia; Rodentia; Cricetidae
Source: RefSeq, a predicted model, not a curated record
AAUCUCCCCUCGACUGUAUAAAGAGAGGAUCUGAGGCUGUUAGCCUUCAAUCCGGUGAUUCAUGCAGCUGGCACACAGAGAAGAUUCCACCUCUCUCCUCCCUGCCACACAGUACCAAGCUAAACAAAACGUCUUAGAAAGCUCCAGUACAUGUAGUUAGCCUGUCAGAAACCCCUCCCCCACGCCGGUCCUCCCCUCUCCCACUUUUUUUUUCCCCCCUUGCUUUCUUUUUCUUCUUCUACAGAGCCAAAGAGUCCAAAUGCCUAGCACCUGCCUUUUCCUGACAUUUCCACAAAGGACCCAGCUCUAGCCAUCAUGACAACAGCAUUCCUGACCUCUGAGCUGCUCAAAAUGCUGAGACGGGACUGGAGGUGAGCCGGACACCUCAUCCACACCCCGGUGCCACCAACACCCGCUGCAGCCUUGUUUCCAACACCGUGUUGGUUCUCAGCGAGAGACGUCUGGACAGCUGAGGUAGAGGAACUGGAAGGCAAGAAGAAAAUCUCCCACGUGUUCUUCUCAUCACAGCACUCAAAACUCACAGCUGAGGGGUUCCAGUUACUCAACAGAAGGAUUAGCUUUCCGGUGCAAUUAAAAACAGACACUCUGCAAGGAACCAGCUUGUACACUUUCCUCAAAUUACCCUCAGUCUAUCCAGAAAAAGAGGCCGCUAAAGUAAACACACAACACGAAAGUGAUAUUAAAUAUGCCUGUGUUCUGGACGAGAGCAUACCUGGAAACUGUUUCAUCCACGAUGGGGUGUUUUGCCGAGCAUGUACUGGGGUCAACGCUGGAAGAUCAGAGAAACAGAACAAGCCACAGCCACCUCACCUCA